Long non-coding RNA from Amphimedon queenslandica, 463 nucleotides. RefSeq lists it as uncharacterized. The transcript is spliced from 4 exons. The record is from RefSeq and is a predicted model, not a curated record. Lineage: Eukaryota; Metazoa; Porifera; Demospongiae; Haplosclerida; Niphatidae.
UACCACUAAUGAAUAAAAGUCAGUUAGAAGCCACCAAUACUCAUUCAUACAGUUUCUAUCAAAGACAAUAUUGGAAAUCAAUGAAGGGAACAUCCUCUGUUGUCAAGGGUUACUACCUGAUAGUGUGUUGUACCAGUUAGCGUUUGAUAUGGGCUGGUGUCUCGUUAUAUUCUCCUCUCAUUACAACAUUCACCAAUUAAUGAACUAACUGUUAGUAAAAUAAAUAAAGAGCUAAUGAGCUGGAACAGAAACGCUGAUUGAUUGAUCUAGGUAGCUCUGGCAGUGACAAAGAGAAAAAAGAAACAGAUGAAGCAAUAGUUGACUACUCAGGCUGUGCAUGACACCUGAAGACCUGGAAACUGACUAGACUAAUUAGUACUGCAUUGACUUUCAGUAUUGUCCACACACAACAAAUACAUAUUCAUUCUUGUUUUGGUUUUGAAAGAGGAGCCUGGGAACAGUA